UGGGUUCUCUAAAUUGCCUAUCUUAUUGUCACCUAUCUAGAAGGCUACUAUACUCCCUAACUAGCCAACCACGAUAAGACCAACAUGAGAGACAUGUUAAUGCCUGAUGACCAAGGAUUAUUAGCCUUGCCUAUAAGUAUUCAUCUUUGGCCUCAGGAGGACUUCUUCAAUCUUGGAAUCCCAUGCUUCAUACUCUUCUCUUCUUCUAAGCAAC
This 214-nucleotide long non-coding RNA is filed under the name Gossypium barbadense (sea-island cotton). Its description in RNAcentral is "long non-coding RNA (GBAR_LNC020718)". The record is from RNAcentral. Lineage: Eukaryota; Viridiplantae; Streptophyta; Magnoliopsida; Malvales; Malvaceae.